Molecule: long non-coding RNA, 3613 nt
Filed under: Lactuca sativa (garden lettuce)
Lineage: Eukaryota; Viridiplantae; Streptophyta; Magnoliopsida; Asterales; Asteraceae
Description: long non-coding RNA (LSAT_LNC003483)
Source: RNAcentral
CACCCCCCAACACGUUGCCUUGAUUGCUCGAACGACGACCCAAAAACUAGCCCCGUUGCCUUGAUUCCUCGAACAUGUUGCCUUACUUUGUCGAACGAUGACCUGAUGAUGAGCAUCGUUGCCUAGAUUCGUUGAACGACGACCUUGGUUGCCUUGAUCUUUUGAAUGAUGACCUAAAAACUAGCUUCUUGGAGAACCGGGGAGCUAUCCACGUUUCCCUGAUUGCUCGAAUUAGGACCCAAAAACUAGCCUUGUUGCCAUGAUUCCUCGAACAUGUUGCUUUAAUUUGUCGAACGAUGACCUGAUGAGUAGCAUUGUGGCUUAGAUUUCUUGAACGACGACCUUGAAACUAGCCGUGUUGCCUUGUUUUCUUGAGCUUGUUGGCUUGAUUUUUUGAACGUUGACCUGAAAACUAGCCUCAUGGAAAACCGAGAAGCUAUCCACGUUGCCUUGAUUUCUCGAAUUACGACACAAAAACUAGCCUUGUUGCCUUGAUUCCUCGAACAUGUUGCGUAAAUUUGUCGAAUGAUGACAUGAUGACUAGUAUUGUUGCUUAGAUUUCUUGGACGACUAUGAAACUAGCCGAGGUUUCCAUGUUUUCUUGAGCUUGUUGCCUUGGGUUUUUGAACGAUGACCUGAAAACGAGCCUCUUGGAGAACCGGGGAGCUAUCCUCGUUGCCUUGAUUGCUCGAAUUACGACCCAAAAACUAGCCUUGUUUCCUUGAUUCCUCGAACAUGUUGCUUAAUUUGUCGAACAAUGACCUGAUGACUAGCGUUGUUGCUUAGAUUUCUUGAAGGACGACCUUAAAACUAGCUCUGUUGCCUUGUUUUCUUGAGUUUGUUGCCUUGAUUUUUUUAACGAUGACCUCAAAACUAGCCUCUUGGGGGUACCAUAGAGACGAAGAAACCACCGAGCUUUGACAAGGCAAGCCACAGGACCCAUGAAAGAAGCCCACCCCAAUAUGUUGCCUUGGUUGCUCGAACGACGACCAGAAAAGAUGCCACAUUGCCUUGAUUACUCGAACUUGUUGAAUUAUUUUUUCGAACGAUGGCCUGAUGACAAGCCCUGUUGCCUAGAUUUAUCGAACGAUGGCCCUGAAAGAUGCCUCCCCCAACACGUUGCCUUGUUAACUAGUUCCAUGUUGCCUUGAUUUCUCCAACACGUUGCCUUGACAUGUCGAACGAUGUCCUGAAAACUAGCCCCAUUCUCUUUAUUUCUUGAACAACGACCUGGAAAGUAGCCUCGUUACCUUGAUUGCUGGAACACGUUGCCUUGAUAUCACUAACGACGACCUGCAAAACAAGCAUGGUUGCCUUGAAUACUGGAACACAUUGCCUAGAAAACUUGCCUUGAUGACCUGAAAACUAGCCUUUUGUGGCCUUGGUUUCAUGAACGAUGACCUGAAAACUAGCCACGAUGGCCUGGAAACUAGCCACGAUGCCUUGAUUUUCCCCGACGUCGUGUGCAUACGAAAAAUUAUGCAUCCUCAGGGAAAUCAAUGUCUGUUCCUGUCACCAAGCUCUUUGUGCAAUAUGUAUAUAUAGGGGAGGGCAUGGUUGCUGAAUCCAUCAUCGAGCAUCGUAAAGGCAAGCCUUAAGACCCGUGAAAGAGCCCUCCCCCAACACGUUGCCUUGAUUGCUAGAACGACGACCCAAAAACUAGCCGCGUUGCCUUGAUUCCUCGAACAUGUUUCCUUGAUUUGUGGAACGAUGACCGGAUGACUAGAAGCGUUGCCUAGAUUUGUCAAACGACGACCUUGAAACUAGCCCGGUUGCCUUGAUUCCUUCAGCAUGUUGCCUUGAUUUUUUGAACGAUGACCUGAAAACUAGCCUAAUGGAAAACAUGGGUGCUAUUCCUCAUUGCCUAGAUGUAUAUAUUUGGGGGGACCAUAGAGAUGAAGCAACCAUCUAGCACCAAUGAGGCAAGCCCUAAGACCCGUGAAGGAGCCCACCCCCAACGCGUUGCCUUGAUUGCUCGAAAGACGAGCCAAAAACUAGCCCCGUUGCCUUGAUUCCUCGAACGUGUUGCCUUAAUUUGUCGAACGAUGACCUGAUGACUAACAUUGUUGCCUAGAUUUGUCGAAUGACGACCAUGAAACUAGUCCUGUUGCCUUGGUUCCUUGAGCUUGUUGCCUUGAUUUUUUGAAUGAUGACCUGAAAACUAUCCUAAUGGACAACUUGUGGGCUAUUCCUUAUUGCAUUGACGUAUAUAUUGGGGGGGGACCAUAAAGACGAAGCAACCAUCGAGCACCAACAAGGCAAGCCCUUAGACCCUUGAAGGAGCCCGCCCCCCAAAGUGUUGCCUUGAUUGCUCGAACGACGAGCCAAAAACUAGCCCCAUUGCCUUGAUUCCUCGAACGUCUUGCCUUAUUGGUCGAUCGAUGACCUGAUGACUAACAUGGUUGCCUAGAUUUUUCGAACGAUGACCUUGAAGCUAGUCUUCUUGCCUUGAUUCCUUGAGCUGGUUGCCUUGAUUCCUCGAACAUGUUGCCUUACUUUGUCGAACGAUGAGUUGAUGAUGAGCAUCAUUGCCUAGAUUCGUUGAACGACGACCUUGGUUGCCUUGAUCUUUUGAAUGAUGACUUGAAAACUAGCUUCAUGGAGAACCGGGGAGCUCUCCGCGUUGCCCUGAUUGCUCGAAUUAGGACCCAAAAACUAGCCUUGUUGCCAUGAUUCCUCGAACAUGUUGCUUUAAUUUGUCGAACGAUGACCUGAUGACUAGCAUUGUGGCUUAGAUUUCUUGAACGACGACCUUGAAAGUAGCCGUGUUGCCUUGUUUUCUUGAGCUUGUUGGCUUGAUUUUUUGAACGUUGACCUGAAAACUAGCCUCUUGGAAAACCGAGAAGCUAUCCACGUUGCCUUGAUUUCUCGAAUUACGACUCAAAAACUAGCCUUGUUGGCUUGAUUCCUCGAACAUGUUGCAUAAAUUUGUCGAAUGAUGACAUGAUGACUAGUAUUGUUGCUUAGAUUUCUUGUACGACUAUGUAACUAGCCGAGGUUUCCAUGUUUUCUUGAGCUUGUUGCCUUGGGUUUUUGAACGAUGACCUCAAAACUAGCCUCUUGGGGUACCAUAGAGACGAAGAAACCACCGAGCUCUGACAAGGCAAGCCACAGGACCCAUGAAAGAAGCCCACCCCCAAUAUGUUGCCUUGGUUGCUCGAACGACGACCAGAAAAGAUGCCACGUUGCCUUGAUUUCUCGAAUUACGACUCAAAAACUAGCCUUGUUGGCUUGAUUUUUUGAACGAUGACCUCAAAACUAGCCUCUUGGGGUACCAUAGAGACGAAGAAACCACCGAGCUCUGACAAGGCAAGCCACAGGACCCAUGAAAGAAGCCCACCCCCAAUAUGUUGCCUUGGUUGCUCGAACGACGACCAGAAAAGAUGCCACGUUGCCUUGAUUACUCGAACUUGUUGAAUUAUUUUUUCGAACGAUGGCCUGAUGACAAGCCCUGUUGCCUAGAUUUAUCGAACGAUGGCCCUGAAAGAUGCCUCCCCCAACACGUUGCCUUGUUAACUAGUUCCAUGUUGCCUUGAUUUCUCCAACACGUUGCCUUGACAUGUCGAACGAUGUCCUGAAAACUAGCCCCGUUCUCUUUAUUUCUUGAACAACG